RNAcentral lists this ribosomal RNA (467 nucleotides) under uncultured bacterium. Its description in RNAcentral is "partial 16S ribosomal RNA". It matches the Rfam family "Bacterial small subunit ribosomal RNA", at positions 28 to 507 of the family's 1533-position model. The record is from RNAcentral.
GACGAACGCUGGCGGCGUGCUUAACACAUGCCAGUCGAACGGAACGUCCUCUUUCGGGGGGUACUCGAGUGGCGAACGGGUGAGUAACACGUGAGUAACCUGCCCAUGCCUUUGGGAUAACUUCAGGAAACGGGGGCUACUCCCGGAUAGGAGCUCCUGCUGCACGGUGGGGGUUGUACAGUUUCGGCGGUUGGGGAUGGACUCGCGGCUUAUCAGCUUUUGGGUGGGGUAGUGGCUUACCAAGGCUUUGACGGGUAGCCGGACUGUGAGGGUGACCGGCCACAUUGGGACUGAGAUACGGCAGAGACUCCGACGGGAGGCAGCAGGGGGGAAGAGUGCACGAUGGGUGGAAGCUGGAUGCAGCAACGCCGUGUGCGGGAUGACGGCCUUGGGGUUGAAGAACGCGUUCGCUAGUGACGGAGCAUGGUGUGACGGUAGUGGGUAAAGAAGCACCGGCUAACUACGUG